GGGGAAUAUUGCGCAAUGGGCGAAAGCCUGACGCAGCGACGCCGCGUGGGGGAGGAAGGCCCCAGGGUUGUAAACCCCUGUCAGGUGGGACGAACCCCGGUACGUCGAACAGGCGUACCGACUGACGGUACCACCAGAGGAAGCUCCGGCUAACUCCGUGCCCGCAGCCGCGGUAAUACGGAGGGAGCAAGCGUUGUCCGGAUUUACUGGGUGUAAAGGGCGCGCAGGUGGGUUUGCAAGUCAGAGGUGAAAUCUCACGGCUUAACCGUGAAAGUGCCCUUGAUACUGCAAAUCUUGAGUUCGGAAGAGAGAGACGGAAUUCCAGGUGUAGUGGUGAAAUACGUAGAUAUCUGGAAGAACACCAGUUGCGAAGGCGGUCUCUUGGUCCGAUACUGACACUCAGGCGCGAAAGCGUGGGUAGCAA
This 424-nucleotide ribosomal RNA is filed under the name uncultured bacterium. RNAcentral's name for it is "bacterial SSU rRNA". It matches the Rfam family "Bacterial small subunit ribosomal RNA", at positions 356 to 771 of the family's 1533-position model. The record is from RNAcentral.